RNA transcript from Zeugodacus cucurbitae (melon fly), 4252 nucleotides. It is a transcript of the gene named transcription elongation regulator 1, with no coding region annotated. The record is from RefSeq and is a predicted model, not a curated record. The transcript is spliced from 6 exons. Lineage: Eukaryota; Metazoa; Arthropoda; Insecta; Diptera; Tephritidae.
UUCGAUUUCAAUUUCACAUCUUUAGUUUUUUCUUCAAAAGUGUGUGCAUUAUUAAUCGGCUGAGAAGAAUAUUUUCUGAAUUUAAUCAAGAAAAAUAAUUUGCUAAUUAAAUAUCGUGACUAUGGACGCUGAAGUCGAAAGCGGCAUUGAAAACAACAUACAAUCUGGCGACGAGGCGGAUUCUCCAACUCUAGAUGCUGAAUCGCUAUUUAAAGGUAGUGCGGCUGGGGCUUCUCAGGAAAACAUUUCAACCCCGAAUAUAAAUGGAAAUGCGGAACAAGCAACGCCAGAUACAAGUGAGGGUGAAUCUCAAUGGACCCAAAACAAUCAAGCUGCUCCUGCAGUGAAACCUUUCGGAGUGCCACCAUUUGGUGGUCCACCAGGAUCUUUUCGUGGAGGACGUGGCGGUAUUCAUAUAAUGCCUUUUGGACGUGGUGGUGCUCGAGGUGGUGGCGGCAAUUUUGGUGGACGUGGCCCCGGAAACUUUGAUCCGAAUUGGCAGGGACAAAAUCAAAACGCUCCACUAAAUAUUACAAAUGGUCCACCCUUGGAACUGUGGGUGGAGACCAAGACUGAGGAUGGCAAAUCCUAUUUCUACCAUGCUAUGACACGUGAAACCACAUGGAAUAAACCAGAAGGACAAAAUAUUAAAGUUAUGACUCAAAUGGAAAUUGAGGAAAUGAAUAAAAAACAGCAACCACAGCAAACACAACAGAAUAACACACUGCACACCGAUGCAAAUGUUAAGGGACCAGAGUCUAGUGGUCACGUUCAAGGUGGUAUGAUGGGCGUGCAAAAGGAGCUACCGCCAAUGUCUGUAGCACCGCCCAUGAAGGCACCGGAUACAUUGACACAACAUCCACCACCCAAUAUGAUGUCACAACCACCACCCACACAACAGACCUUGACACAGCCACCACCGAAUGUAGUACCAAGCGGUGCACCUCCAAUGACCCAACAACCUCCGCCCGCAAUGCAUCAACAGCCGCCGCCAUUCUUUCCUCCCGGCAUGCAUCCACCUAAUUUCUCGCAACCGCCAUUUGGUAUGCCUCCACCUGGCUAUGGUGGUUUUCAAGGUGGACCAGCGCCUUGGGGUAUGCCCUGGAAUCAGCACAUGCACCCUCCACAUGGUCCGCCGGCACAGGACAAGCCUGCAAAGAAUUUAAUUAUCAAACCUGGUGUGAUUGACCCCGCUGUAAUUGCACGAGCUGCUGAAUGGUCCGAACAUCGCGCGCCUGAUGGGCGUCCCUACUAUUACCACGCCGCUCGCGGCGAAAGCGUUUGGGAGAAACCACAAGCUUUACGCGACAUGGAAGCGGCACGUAUGGCUGCUCAUUCAGGCACAACUCCACAACAGGCAGUGAUGCCACAAGUCGCACCCAACAUGCCGCCACACAUGAUGCCCAAUCCCACACUCAUGCAUAUGGCGCCGGCAGCUGCAGGUUAUGACCAAGCGAUGGCUUAUAAUGCUGCCGCUGCCGCAGCCGCCGCAGCUGCAGCCGCUGCUGCUAACCUCAAACCUCUCGAACAAACAAAAGCAGCACAAGCUGCGGCAUUGGAAAAAGAGUCCAAGAAGGUGGCAGAGGAAAAACGCAAGAAAGAGGAAGAGCAACAAAAGAAAGUCACUGCAACGGCAGUUAAACCAGUAGAUAAAUCACGUCCUAUUUCCAGUACACCCAUCGCAGGCACACCAUGGUGUGUCGUUUGGACAGGUGACGCAAGGGUGUUCUUCUAUAAUCCCUCUACACGCACCUCCGUUUGGGAGAGGCCUGACGAUUUACUCGACCGUGCUGACGUAGACAAAGCGGUCAAUAAUAUGCCGGAACAGUUAAAGGCGGCUGGUAAUGUCGCUACGGAGAAACAACAAGUGGAAAAGAAUGAGUCUGAGAAGAAGAAGGAGGUUGAGGUGACUGAGGAAGACGAAGAAGAAGAGAGAGAGCGAAGAAUGGAGAUAGAAGAUGACGAAGUCAUCAAAAUACGCACUGAAUCUGAAUCCAGUGUGGAAGAAGUGCCCACUAAAAAGUCCAGACUAUCCGCAAAGCAAACAAGAAAAGCGGAUGCCAAUGAAGCAGCCGUAGAAGCUGAGGUACGCGCAGCUAAGGAGCGCGCUGUAGUGCCAUUGGAGACGCGUGUCAAACAGUUUAAGGAAAUGUUGCGUGAAAAGGAUGUUUCAGCAUUUAGCACUUGGGAGAAGGAGUUGCACAAAAUCGUUUUCGAUCCGCGGUACUUACUGCUGACCUCUAAGGAGCGCAAACAGGUAUUUGAAAAGUAUGUCAAAGAUCGAGCCGAGGAGGAACGCAAAGAGAAACGUAAUAAAAUGCGGCAAAAGCGUGAAGAUUUUCGUAAGCUUAUGGAGGAUGCAAAAUUGCAUGGCAAGUCGUCAUUCAGCGACUUUUGUCAGCGUUAUGGCAAAGAUGAACGCUAUAAAGCUAUCGAAAAGGUGCGCGAACGUGAGAGCCUCUUCAACGAGUAUAUUGUAGAUGUGCGUCGACAAGAGAAAGAGGAGAAAAUACAAAAAAAGGAACAGGUAUGUGCGUGUUCCAUUAAAUGCAUGCGGGCUGAGAAUGCGUUUGCUAGCUUAGUUAAUUUGGGUUUUGGGGUGCAGCAAACGCAGUUCUUAUUUAAAUAUUUAGUAAUGCGUAUUUUUAACGAUUAAUUGAAAUUUUCAUACGUCUCUAUUUGUAUAUACACUUAUUUAUUAUAUAUUGUUAAUGCUUCACAGCAAAGUUUAUACUUUUUAUUUUUUAUAAAAAUUUUCUUCACUCUAAUCUUGAAAUCUCAAAACCAAACAAACAAAAAAAAAAUCAAACAAAUCUACCACUACUACUACGACGCUUAUAAAUAUCGGCUACCAUUAUGCACGAUCAACGCAUUGUCGACCAACAACAACAAAACAUAGUUAAUUGCAACAAAGCAUCUGAAUAUAGAUCAGCCGACGCUUGAAGUGUAUUUAAAAUCGAUGCUAAUUUACUUAGCCACGUAAAAAUUUGUUGACUUAGAGAAAAGCAGAAUUGCUAAAUACAUUUUCUAGGCUACACUACAGUAGAAACAGUGAAACGAAAACAGGAAACGCAGCAAAAUAAUAUGUUGAAGCGUUGCAGCGUAACGUGUGAUUGUAACACACAUGGCCAUGGAGCUGCCAACGACCGCAUCAAAUUACAUUGAUCCGCAAAGGCAACCAUGCCCAUCCUGCUAUCACCCAGCAUCCCAGUGACACUUGCCUGUUCGUUAGUACCUUCACCGUGCUUACGUACGCCUGCUUGGCACGUUUCCCCCAAAUUGUUUGUGUCUAACUAGCUCCGAGCUCGUGAUCAACGUUGACUUCAUUAAACUAUCAGCAAACAAACACAAAUCAAUGUUUAUCAACGUUAAAACUUGGUGAUUUACCCCUCUGCCAGGAACGUCUCACACAUGUACUGUAUUGAACCAAUUUGGAAACGGUGAAUAUUGAUGGAUGGAUAAUAGCAAGGGACACAAAGAAGACUAACGGCAUUAGGCAGACGACAAGACAUGCCAAUCUCCCAACAGCUGGCUGUUUAGUUAAUGUUGGCGCUCGAGUCUCCAGUCUCUGGUCUCUGCGGGUGGCAGAGCGGGAACUAGAGCGGGAGUGGAAGUUGAGCGAGAAGAGACAGAAACAGUAUGAAUAAAAACUCAAUCUAAACUUCAUACAUUUAGAAUUUUUGUUACAGCCGCAAAUGCAAUAGGCAUAUAAAAAUUCAAUAUUUCACAUUCGUGCUUUGUGAAUAUUUUGAAUUAACGAUUUUCUAAUUGAUUUGAAGCUAGUAAAUCAAUUGCUUUAACACACCUACUAUAUAUACAUAUUAGUAUUUCGAAAAUGUCAAAUGAAUGUGAAAUAUUGAUUUUUACUGACGGGCUUUACUUGUAAGUUCAUAAAGUAAAGCAUUCAAUACAUUAGCUAUGUGUAUUCUUAUUAUAUAAAACACGUACAUUUACAUAUUGUCCGUCUGUCCGCCGACAACGCCGUGCUGCUGCACAAUGCCACUCCAAUUUAUGCAAAUAAAAUUUCCACUUUUCAGCGCUACACUGUUGGAUGCCAUAAAAUUCAGUGUUCAAUAAAUUUUUCUUUCAGCAUUCAACGACACACUUAAUUAAAUUUGAACUUCUCUUGCAGCAUUUAGUGUAUAAGUUAUUAUUGUUGACGUUUAAGUUAGUGAUUAAGAGUCAUCUAUAAGCCCCUGUUAUGUUCCAAUAAAUGUAUGGUGUAAGCUAAAACGAAAGCCAAUAUCUGAAA